GAUGAACGCUGGCGGCGUGCCUAAUACAUGCAAGUCGAGCGAACGGACGAGAAGCUUGCUUUUCUGAUGUUAGCGGCGGAAGGGUGAGUAAAACGUGGAUAACCUACCUAUAAGACUGGGAUAACUUCGGGAAACCGGAGCUAAUACCGGAUAAUAUUUUGAACCGCAUGGUUCAAAAGUGAAAGACGGUCUUGCUGUCACUUAUAGAUGGAUCCGCGCUGCAUUAGCUAGUUGGUAAGGUAACGGCUUACCAAGUCAACGAUGCAUAGCCGACCUGAGAGGGUGAUCAGCCACACUGGAACUAAGACACGGUCCAGACUCCUACGGGAGGCAGCAAUAGGGAAUCUUCCGCAAUGGGCGAAAGCCUGACGAAGCAACGGCACGUGAAUGAUGAAGGUCUUCGGAUCGUAAAACUCUGUUAUUAGAGACGAACAUAUGUGUAAGUAACUGUGCACAUCUUGACGGUACCUAAUCAGAAAGCCACGGCUAACUACGUG
RNAcentral lists this ribosomal RNA (497 nucleotides) under uncultured bacterium. RNAcentral describes it as "partial 16S ribosomal RNA". It matches the Rfam family "Bacterial small subunit ribosomal RNA", at positions 28 to 507 of the family's 1533-position model. The record is from RNAcentral.